AGAAAGAAAGAAAAAGCCAGGUGUUGCCAGGUGUGGUGGCUCACAACUGUAAUCCCAGCAGCUCAGGAGGCUGAGGCAGGAAGAUCGUGAGUUCAAAGCCAGCCUCAGCAAUUUAGCAAGGCACUAAGCAACUCAGUGAGACCCUGUCUCUAAAUUAAAUACAAAAAAAGGGCUGGAGAUGUGGCUCAGUGGUUGAGUGCCCCUGAGUUCAAUCCCUGGUACCAAAAAAAAAAAAAGCCAGGUUCUGUGGCUGGGCCUGUGAGCCCAGCUAGUUGGGAGGCUGAGGCAGGAAGAUUGAAAGUUUGAGGCCAGUCUGGGUAACACAGUGAGACCCUGCCAAGAAAGGAAUAAAAUAAAACAGAACAAAUAACAGCUGGAUAAAAAUUGACCUGGAGGGGCUGAGGUUAUGGCUCAGUGGUAGAGUGCUUGCCUAGCAUGUGUGAGGCACUGGAUUUGAUUCUCAGCACCACAUAUAAAUUAAUAAAUAAACAAAGGUCUAUCAACAAUUUUUUUUUUUUUAAAUUGACUUCCUGGAGCUGGAUUAAGAGUCAAAGCUUCCCUUUGGCCAUAUCUUUUCCAUUCUAUCUGACAAAAUGGGGAGGGUUGAACACUAGAAGUAAGAGAGCACCCACAAUUUGCAGCCACUGUGCACCCUAAGGGUACAGGUCUAUUCUUGAUAUCCCAUGGCAUUUAUUUGGUAUUGGCAGCCGGGGCUUAACCAGCACUGAACCAUACACGGAGAGCAGAUGUUCCCUGUCCUGAUUGUUAGGCCUCCCCUCACCAUGGGCUGCCUAGUCCAGGAAAGGGAGGCUGGUUUCAAGAUUUUUACAAAGUUCGCCUGCUGUGGUGGUGUAUACCUAUAAUUCCAGCUACUUGGAGGAUUCCAAGGUCAAGGCCAGCUUAGCGAGACUCUGUGUCAGAAUAAAAAUUUAAAAAGGCCUGGGUAUGUAGCUCAGUGAUAGAGCACUUGCCUAGCAUAUGCAAGACCCUUGGUUCAAUCUCCAGUAACACACACACACCCA
This 1022-nucleotide long non-coding RNA is filed under the name Marmota monax (woodchuck). The record is from RNAcentral. Lineage: Eukaryota; Metazoa; Chordata; Mammalia; Rodentia; Sciuridae.